Molecule: ribosomal RNA, 503 nt
Filed under: uncultured bacterium
Lineage: Bacteria
Description: partial 16S ribosomal RNA
Rfam family: Bacterial small subunit ribosomal RNA
Source: RNAcentral
GAUGAACGCUAGCGACAGGCUUAACACAUGCAAGUCGAGGGGCAGCAUAAAAGUAGCAAUACUUUGGUGGCGACCGGCGCACGGGUGAGUAACGCGUAUGCAACCUACCUAUCAGAAGGGAAUAACCCGGCGAAAGUCGGACUAAUACCGCAUAAAACAGGGGCACCGCAUGGUGAUAUUUGUUAAAGAAAUUCGCUGAUAAAUGGGCAUGCGUUCCAUUAGGUAGUUGGUGAGGUAACGGCUCACCAAGCCGACGAUGGAUAGGGGAACUGAGAGGUUGGUCCCCCACACUGGUACUGAGACACGGACCAGACUCCUACGGGAGGCAGCAGUGAGGAAUAUUGGUCAAUGGGCGAGAGCCUGAACCAGCCAAGUCGCGUGAAGGAAGAAGGAUCUAUGGUUCGUAAACUUCUUUUGCAGGGGAAUAAAGUGCGGGACGUGUCCUGCUUUGUAUGUACCCUGAGAAUAAGGAUCGGCUAACUCCGUGCCAGCCGCCGCGGUAA